This 488-nucleotide ribosomal RNA is filed under the name uncultured bacterium. RNAcentral's name for it is "bacterial SSU rRNA". It matches the Rfam family "Bacterial small subunit ribosomal RNA", at positions 28 to 509 of the family's 1533-position model. The record is from RNAcentral.
GAUGAACGCUAGCGGCAGGCUUAACACAUGCAAGUCGUGGGGCAGCGCGAGGUAGCAAUACUUUGGCGGCGACCGGCAAACGGGUGCGGAACACGUACGCAACCUUCCUCAAAGCGGGGAAUAGCCUCUCGAAAGAGAGAUUAAUACCCCAUAGUAUCUCGGAUUCACAUGGAUUUGAGAUUAAAGCUCCGGCACUUUGAGAUGGGCGUGCGGCUGAUUAGGUAGUUGGUAGGGUAACGGCCUACCAAGCCAACGAUCAGUAGCUGAUGUGAGAGCAUGAUCAGCCACACGGGCACUGAGACACGGGCCCGACUCCUACGGGAGGCAGCAGUGAGGAAUAUUGGUCAAUGGAGGCAACUCUGAACCAGCCAUGCCGCGUGAAGGAUGAAGGUCCUCUGGAUUGUAAACUUCUUUUAUAGAAGAAGAAACCCCAUUUUUCUAAAUGGGUUGACGGUACUCUAUGAAUAAGCACCGGCUAACUCCGUGCC